AUGAAGCUGGUAUUGUGCCUAUUUGAGCAAUUGUCCGGUCUGAAGAUCAACUUCAAUAAAAGUGAGUUGUUCUGUUUUGGUAGAGCCAAAGAGGAACAAGAUGCUUACAAGCAACUGUUUGGUUGCGAUUUGGGGACUCUUCCGUUCACUUACCUUGGUAUCCCCAUUCACCAUUGUAAGUUAACUAACAAUGAAUGGAAGUGUAUCGAGGAUCGGUUUGAGAAGAAACUGAGCUGCUGGAAGGGCAAACUUAUGUCGUAUGGAGGCCGAUUGAUUCUUAUUAAUUCGGUGCUCACGAGUUUGCCUAUGUUUCUCUUAUCCUUUUUUGAGGUUCCAGUUGGAGUUAGGAAAAGACUGGACUUCUAUCGGUCUCGUUUCUUCUGGCAGAGCGAUGAAACUAAGAGAAAGUAUCGCCUAGCCAAAUGGGAUGUCAUCUGCUGA
RNAcentral lists this ribosomal RNA (441 nucleotides) under Triticum aestivum (bread wheat). Its description in RNAcentral is "partial small subunit ribosomal RNA". The record is from RNAcentral. Lineage: Eukaryota; Viridiplantae; Streptophyta; Magnoliopsida; Poales; Poaceae.